Molecule: transfer RNA, 97 nt
Organism: Termitomyces sp. J132
Lineage: Eukaryota; Fungi; Basidiomycota; Agaricomycetes; Agaricales; Lyophyllaceae
Rfam family: tRNA
About the family: Transfer RNA (tRNA) molecules are approximately 80 nucleotides in length. Their secondary structure includes four short double-helical elements and three loops (D, anti-codon, and T loops). Further hydrogen bonds mediate the characteristic L-shaped molecular structure. tRNAs have two regions of fundamental functional importance: the anti-codon, which is responsible for specific mRNA codon recognition, and the 3' end, to which the tRNAs corresponding amino acid is attached (by aminoacyl-tRNA synthetases). tRNAs cope with the degeneracy of the genetic code in two manners: having more than one tRNA (with a specific anti-codon) for a particular amino acid; and 'wobble' base-pairing, i.e. permitting non-standard base-pairing at the 3rd anti-codon position.
Source: Rfam
GGUGCUAUAGUGUAGUGGUCAUCACUCGGGAUUUUGAUACUAUGAGCUAUAUGUAUAGUAAAUUCCCGAAACCCAGGUUCGAACCCUGGUAGCACCU